Molecule: ribosomal RNA, 253 nt
Filed under: uncultured bacterium
Lineage: Bacteria
Description: partial 16S ribosomal RNA
Rfam family: Bacterial small subunit ribosomal RNA
Source: RNAcentral
UACGGAGGGUGCGAGCGUUGUCCGGAAUCACUGGGCGUAAAGGGCGCGUAGGUGGCGCGAGGAGUCUGUGGUGAAAGCCCGAGGCUCAACUUCGGGUCGGCCGCGGAUACUCUCGUGCUGGAGGGUGGUAGAGGCCAAUGGAAUUCCGGGUGUAGCGGUGGAAUGCGUAGAUAUCAGGAGGAACACCGAUGGCGAAGGCAGAUCUCUGGGCCGUAACUGACGCUGAGGAGCGAAAGCAUGGGGAGCGAACAGG